GGGGGCAACCCUGGCGGCGAGCGGCGAACGGGUGAGUAACGCAUCGGAACGUGCCCAGUAAUGGGGGAUAACUAUCCGAAAGGGUAGCCAAUACCGCAUACGCCCUGAGGGGGAAAGCGGGGGAUAGCAAGACCUCGCGUUAUUGGAGCGGCCGAUGCCGGAUUAGCUAGUUGGUGGGGUAAAGGCUCACCAAGGCGACGAUCCGUAGCUGGUCUGAGAGGAUGAUCAGCCACACUGGAACUGAGACACGGUCCAGACUCCUACGGGAGGCAGCAGUGGGGAAUUUUGGACAAUGGGGGCAACCCUGAUCCAGCCAUUCCGCGUGAGUGAAGAAGGCCUUCGGGUUGUAAAGCUCUUUCGGCAGGAACGAAACGGUAGGGACUAAUACUCUCUGCUAAUGACGGUACCUGAAGAAGAAGCACCGGCUAACUACGUGCCAGCAGCCGCGGUAAUACGUAGGGUGCGAGCGUUAAUCGGAAUUACUGGGCGUAAAGCGUGCGCAGGCGGUUUUGUAAGACAGGUGUGAAAUCCCCGGGCUUAACCUGGGAACUGCGCUUGUGACUGCAAGACUUGAGUGUGGCAGAGGGGGGUGGAAUUCCACGUGUAGCAGGAAAUGCGUAGAGAUGUGGAGGAACACCGAUGGCGAAGGCAGCCCCCUGGGUCAACACUGACGCUCAUGCACGAAAGCGUGGGUAGCAAACAGGAUUAGAUACCCUGGUAGUCCACGCCCUAAACGAUGCCAACUAGGUGUUGGGGGAGGAGACUUCCUUAGUACCGUAGCUAACGCGUGAAGUUGGCCGCCUGGGGAGUACGGUCGCAAGAUUAAAACUCAAAGGAAUUGACGGGGACCCGCACAAGCGGUGGAUGAUGUGGAUUAAUUCGAUGCAACGCGAAAAACCUUACCUACCCUUGACAUGCCAGGAAUCCUGAAGAGAUUUGGGAGUGCUCGAAAGAGAGCCUGGACACAGGUGCUGCAUGGCUGUCGUCAGCUCGUGUCGUGAGAUGUUGGGUUAAGUCCCGCAACGAGCGCAACCCUUGCCACUAGUUGCCAUCAUUUAGUUGGGCACUCUAUUGGGACUGCCGGUGACAAACCGGAGGAAGGUGGGGAUGACGUCAAGUCCUCAUGGCCCUUAUGGGUAGGGCUUCACACGUCAUACAAUGGUCGGUACAGAGGGUUGCCAACCCGCGAGGGGGAGCCAAUCCCACAAAGCCGAUCGUAGUCCGGAUCGUAGUCUGCAACUCGACUGCGUGAAGUCGGAAUCGCUAGUAAUCGUGGAUCAGCAUGCCACGGUGAAUACGUUCCCGGGUCUUGUACACACCGCCCGUCACACCAUGGGAGUGGGUUUCACCAGAAGUAGGUAGCCUAACCGCAAGGAGGGCGCUUACCACGGUGGGAUUCAUGACUGGGGUGAAGUCGGAACAAGGUA
RNAcentral lists this ribosomal RNA (1427 nucleotides) under metagenome. RNAcentral's name for it is "bacterial SSU rRNA". It matches the Rfam family "Bacterial small subunit ribosomal RNA". The record is from RNAcentral.